This 63-nucleotide transfer RNA is filed under the name Paratetraonchoides inermis. RNAcentral describes it as "tRNA-Leu". Lineage: Eukaryota; Metazoa; Platyhelminthes; Monogenea; Dactylogyridea; Tetraonchoididae. The record is from RNAcentral.
ACACAUAUGUCAGAAUAAAUGAGUUAAUUUUAAGAAUUAAUUAUAGAUAUAAUCUUUUGUGUU